RNAcentral lists this ribosomal RNA (326 nucleotides) under uncultured eukaryote. RNAcentral's name for it is "partial 18S ribosomal RNA". It matches the Rfam family "Eukaryotic small subunit ribosomal RNA", at positions 1470 to 1796 of the family's 1831-position model. The record is from RNAcentral.
CCCUUAGAUGUUCUGGCCGCACACGCGCUACACUGAAGGAGGCAGCGUGUACUCCUGGAUCGAAAGAUUUGGGUAACCCGCGAAUCUCCUUCGUGCUAGGGAUUGAGGUUUGCAAUUAUCCUUCAUGAACGAGGAAUUCCCAGUAAGUGCAAGUCAUAAGCUUGCGCUGACUACGUCCCUGCCCUUUGUACACACCGCCCGUCGCUACUACCGAUUGAAUGAUUUAGUGAGGACUUCGGACUGGGACCGAUGCGGCUUUCGGGCUGCGUCGGUAUUCUGGAAAGAUGUCCAAACUGUAUCAUUUAGAGGAAGUAAAAGUCGUAACA